AAUGAAUAUAAAAUUGUAAAUUGUAAAAAUAAAAACAAUACACAGACUCUUAAUUUGAUAAAUCACCUAAACACAAAUAAUAGAACAUUUACCAGUACAGUUAUUACCAAAAUAAACAAUUGUACUAACAAAUCCAAUGCUAACUGUAAAAACAAUUCCGAUUUAACUACUGUUAUGUAUAGCCAAAUACAAUGUAAAAACUGUCAUAAUAUAUAUACUCAAAAAAAAAAAGGAUAUAUUUUUUUUUUACGAAAGCGGACAUAGAAACCAAUGGGUACUACCUGCAAAUAAAAAAAUAACAAAAGUAAUAAAAAUGUGUUCUCAAACGGAAGCUUUUUUUUAUGCCUGGUUAUAUUUAUGUUGUAAUAAACAAAUUAUUAUUACAGAAGCUCAAAAAAAUUAUAGCUCUAUAUUAGAAAGUGAAGAAGGGUCGGAAGCAGAAACGAAAGCAGAAACAGGAGAAGAAACAGGAGCAGAAAAAGAACCAAAAACAAGAUCAAAAUGCGCUACUAUUCCUUUUAUAAAUAAAAACUCUGGUUCUUAUUAUGAUAGAAUAGUCACAUAUACUACUGAUUUUAUUAAAUAUACUACUCCUUGCUACUACUCUUUUUUAAACCCAAGAGGUUUACAACAACUUGAGAGUUAUGGUUUUGUAAUGAAAACAAAACGAAAUAGCAAUAAUAACAACAGGUUGUCGAAAGAAUGUAGUAAGAAUAAUUUACCUAAUAAUAGCAAUUGUGCAACCAAAAAUGAAAACAGUAACGUUAGUAACAGUAUUAGUAACAACGUUAGUAACAGUAUUAGUAACAACGUCAGUAACAACGUUAGUAACAACGUCAGUAACAACGUUAGUAACAAUGUCAGUAACAUAGAUAAAGCAAAAAUAGAGACUAAUCAAACUUAUGCCACGGUUACAACUGCGACAAUGAAUGAAAAUAUACAUAAUGAAUAUAAAAGUGCUAUAUGUAUAUAUAACGUACUAAGUACAAUGAGACACCCUUGUGUUAUUGAUAUAAAAAUAGGUGUUCGCUUAUAUGGUGAUGAUUGUGAUAAAAAUUCUAUCCAAAAAAAAAUUCAAAAAGCAAAAGAUAGGUCCUGUUUAUCACAUGGGUUCCAUUUAAGUAGUGUUAUAGGUUGGAAUAAAAAAAAAAAAAACAUUUUUUAUUUCAAAAAAUGAUGCACCUAAUAUAAAAAAUGAUGACGCAUUUGUAGAUACUUUUAUGUCAUAUUUUUUAGCUUGUGAUAAUAUACAAGUUUCUAUUUUUUUAUUAAAAAAAAUGCUUAUUA
This 1287-nucleotide long non-coding RNA is filed under the name Piliocolobus tephrosceles (Ugandan red Colobus). Its description in RNAcentral is "lncRNA (ENSPTEG00000020234.1)". The record is from RNAcentral. Lineage: Eukaryota; Metazoa; Chordata; Mammalia; Primates; Cercopithecidae.